Molecule: transfer RNA, 69 nt
Filed under: Podarcis lilfordi (Lilford's wall lizard)
Lineage: Eukaryota; Metazoa; Chordata; Lepidosauria; Squamata; Lacertidae
Description: tRNA.Ala
Rfam family: tRNA
About the family: Transfer RNA (tRNA) molecules are approximately 80 nucleotides in length. Their secondary structure includes four short double-helical elements and three loops (D, anti-codon, and T loops).
Source: RNAcentral
GUCGUAGCUCAGUGGCAGAGCAUCUGCUUUGCAUGCAGAAGGUCCCAGGUUCAACCCCUGGCAUCUCCU